AAAUUGGUUGAUGUUUUCGCCGCGACGAUUCGAAAUGAAACGAAGAAAUGAGAAGAAGCGAAGGUCCUCGUAGAGGUGAAUGAGGAUUUUACCACUAUGGACAUUUGAACAGUAUGCAUAAGAAGACGGAUCUGGAACUAGAAAGCAAGGCUCUGACUGGUCUACUACAGCAAGGAAUGUGCCAGCGGCCAAUCUGAUGAACAUGUGACAGAAGAUUUGGCAAUGGGUGAAGAAAUACUGAGAUUGAAAUGCAACCACAGGUGGAGGCUUCAACCAAACUUUUCAGACAGACAUGAGAUACAAAGUUACACAAGUAUAAAUGGUUGAAGGUUUAGGAGAGCCAGACAAGAAGGCAGGAAAUGUGAUGUCACUUGUAA
Molecule: long non-coding RNA, 377 nt
Organism: Lytechinus pictus (painted urchin)
Lineage: Eukaryota; Metazoa; Echinodermata; Echinoidea; Temnopleuroida; Toxopneustidae
Exons: 3
Source: RefSeq, a predicted model, not a curated record